GCUAGAUUAGUGUAGCUGAAGGUGCACGUCACACUUCCAAUGUGAAGGCUUGCGUGGGUUUGAUUCCCACAUCUAGCA
Molecule: transfer RNA, 78 nt
Filed under: Bacteriophage sp.
Description: tRNA-Gly
Rfam family: tRNA
About the family: Transfer RNA (tRNA) molecules are approximately 80 nucleotides in length. Their secondary structure includes four short double-helical elements and three loops (D, anti-codon, and T loops).
Source: RNAcentral